Molecule: ribosomal RNA, 1463 nt
Filed under: uncultured Klebsiella sp.
Lineage: Bacteria; Pseudomonadati; Pseudomonadota; Gammaproteobacteria; Enterobacterales; Enterobacteriaceae
Description: bacterial SSU rRNA
Rfam family: Bacterial small subunit ribosomal RNA
Source: RNAcentral
AUUGAACGCUGGCGGCAGGCCUAACACAUGCAAGUCGAGCGGUAGCACAGAGAGCUUGCUCUCGGGUGACGAGCGGCGGACGGGUGAGUAAUGUCUGGGAAACUGCCUGAUGGAGGGGGAUAACUACUGGAAACGGUAGCUAAUACCGCAUAACGUCGCAAGACCAAAGUGGGGGACCUUCGGGCCUCAUGCCAUCAGAUGUGCCCAGAUGGGAUUAGCUAGUAGGUGGGGUAACGGCUCACCUAGGCGACGAUCCCUAGCUGGUCUGAGAGGAUGACCAGCCACACUGGAACUGAGACACGGUCCAGACUCCUACGGGAGGCAGCAGUGGGGAAUAUUGCACAAUGGGCGCAAGCCUGAUGCAGCCAUGCCGCGUGUGUGAAGAAGGCCUUCGGGUUGUAAAGCACUUUCAGCGGGGAGGAAGGCGGUGAGGUUAAUAACCUCAUCGAUUGACGUUACCCGCAGAAGAAGCACCGGCUAACUCCGUGCCAGCAGCCGCGGUAAUACGGAGGGUGCAAGCGUUAAUCGGAAUUACUGGGCGUAAAGCGCACGCAGGCGGUCUGUCAAGUCGGAUGUGAAAUCCCCGGGCUCAACCUGGGAACUGCAUUCGAAACUGGCAGGCUAGAGUCUUGUAGAGGGGGGUAGAAUUCCAGGUGUAGCGGUGAAAUGCGUAGAGAUCUGGAGGAAUACCGGUGGCGAAGGCGGCCCCCUGGACAAAGACUGACGCUCAGGUGCGAAAGCGUGGGGAGCAAACAGGAUUAGAUACCCUGGUAGUCCACGCCGUAAACGAUGUCGAUUUGGAGGUUGUGCCCUUGAGGCGUGGCUUCCGGAGCUAACGCGUUAAAUCGACCGCCUGGGGAGUACGGCCGCAAGGUUAAAACUCAAAUGAAUUGACGGGGGCCCGCACAAGCGGUGGAGCAUGUGGUUUAAUUCGAUGCAACGCGAAGAACCUUACCUGGUCUUGACAUCCACAGAACUUUCCAGAGAUGGAUUGGUGCCUUCGGGAACUGUGAGACAGGUGCUGCAUGGCUGUCGUCAGCUCGUGUUGUGAAAUGUUGGGUUAAGUCCCGCAACGAGCGCAACCCUUAUCCUUUGUUGCCAGCGGUCCGGCCGGGAACUCAAAGGAGACUGCCAGUGAUAAACUGGAGGAAGGUGGGGAUGACGUCAAGUCAUCAUGGCCCUUACGACCAGGGCUACACAUGUGCUACAAUGGCAUAUACAAAGAGAAGCGACCUCGCGAGAGCAAGCGGACCUCAUAAAGUAUGUCGUAGUCCGGAUUGGAGUCUGCAACUCGACUCCAUGAAGUCGGAAUCGCUAGUAAUCGUAGAUCAGAAUGCUACGGUGAAUACGUUCCCGGGCCUUGUACACACCGCCCGUCACACCAUGGGAGUGGGUUGCAAAAGAAGUAGGUAGCUUAACCUUCGGGAGGGCGCUUACCACUUUGUGAUUCAUGACUGGGGUGA